This 468-nucleotide ribosomal RNA is filed under the name uncultured bacterium. RNAcentral describes it as "partial 16S ribosomal RNA". It matches the Rfam family "Bacterial small subunit ribosomal RNA", at positions 28 to 507 of the family's 1533-position model. The record is from RNAcentral.
GACGAACGCUGGCGGCGUGCUUAACACAUGCAAGUCGAACGGAAAGGCCCUGCUUUUGUGGGGUGCUCGAGUGGCGAACGGGUGAGUAACACGUGAGUAACCUGCCCUUGACUUUGGGAUAACUUCAGGAAACUGGGGCUAAUACCGGAUAGGAGCUCCUGCUGCAUGGUGGGGGUUGGAAAGUUUCGGCGGUUGGGGAUGGACUCGCGGCUUAUCAGCUUGUUGGUGGGGUAGUGGCUUACCAAGGCUUUGACGGGUAGCCGGCCUGAGAGGGUGACCGGCCACAUUGGGACUGAGAUACGGACCAGACUGCAACGGGAGGCAGUAGUGGGGAAUAUUGCACAAUGGGCGGAAGCCUGAUGCAGCAACGCUGCGUGCGGGAUGACGGCCUUCGGGUUGUAAACCGCUUUCGCCUGUGACGAAGCGUGAGUGACGGUAAUGGGUAAAGAAGCACCGGCUAACUACGUG